AGCUGCUAGGCAUAGAUAUCAUGCUUUUUACAUUUUUCCUUUAAAGGAAAUACAAAUUAGCCAUUAGCACAAUGUGGCCUGUUCUCAAUUCUCUGCACGUUGAUGCUUGUUCCAGAGUGUAGCCUCCUUUGCUCUUCGGCAAUCCUGACAACAGACUUUGGUACACAUGGUGUCCACAAAGUCUCCUCAGGUGGGUCAGAAGGUCCCCAGAGCUGCCAACACUUUUCUUCAGGAAGAAACUUGUGCAAAAAUGUGGCCGCUACCCAGAGGGAUGUGACAGAUGGCAGAAUCACCGUGCCGAGCUCAGAUGGCUCACCCAGGUGGAGCGGUAUCAGGGAGCUGGAAGCAGAGCUCUGGAAAUUAUUCCUGGCCUGCAUCAGCCUCUCAUAUUGACAGCUCCACACUCUUCUGAUCUGUGAAUUUGGAGGUUGGAGAGCCCAGAUGCAUGCAUUUUUCCCCCAAGAGCAAAUUUUAGCUUUCCAAAGCCACCAUUUCUUUGUAGGAUAUUAUGUUUCCUGUAUUGUACAUUGUCUGUGAGAAUUCACUGAUGCCUAACUCAAUCUAAUUUUCUUACCUGAGUGUGACGUUGACAUACAAAUAGCAACCCCAGAACAACCUCUAACCAGCUUACUUUGGGGGCUCUUCAACAGCCAUGCGACAGCCAAAGCCAAGAAAGCACAUGGAAUGGAGUGUGUGGAAUGUGGCCUGAUAUUGCAGUUAAGGUUUUGCAACAGGCCUGAAGGAGAAGUACCAAAUAAGGAGUGGUCAGAAACCUCAGUUUAGUUAGACAGAAUGAACACCUAUAGGAUAAAUUUUUUUGUGGUUCUUCCGUCCUCCCAAGAGCCACAGGGGAAUGCAGGGCAGGCAGCUUUACUCUUAGAUGCCAUCACUGGCUGGGAAAGCUUUACCAGGGAGAGGGUAAAACUCCACAUCUGAACUUCACCUUCAAAAAACUGAAAUAGUAGCAGAUUCCAACCCCUUUAUCUUCAUAGGAUUAAGUAGAUUAAUUUAGCCUCUGUGCAAGUUGCUAGAUUGAAGAU
RNAcentral lists this long non-coding RNA (1040 nucleotides) under Macaca mulatta (Rhesus monkey). Its description in RNAcentral is "lncRNA (ENSMMUG00000054357.1)". The record is from RNAcentral. Lineage: Eukaryota; Metazoa; Chordata; Mammalia; Primates; Cercopithecidae.